CAUGAAAAAGAAUUAGGAUUUUCGCUCCUAAAAAUGUGACUAGGGAUUGUCAUACCCUGUGAAGACAUGAAGAAGGAACAUAGGAAGGUUUAUUUCCUAAAAUGUCAACUAGGGGAUGGCUCCCUAUGAAGACGAAAUAAGAUGUCGACUAGGGGGUAGUGCCCUAUGAAGACGAAUAAGAUAUCAACUAGGGGAUGACGCCCUAUGAAGACAAAUAAGAUGUCAACUAGGGGAUGGCGCCCUAUGAAGACGAAAUAAGAUGUCGACUAGGGGAUAGUGCCCUAUGAAGACGAGUAAGAUGUCAACUAGGGGAUGGCGCCCUAUGAAGACGAAAUAAGAUGUCGACUAGGGGAUAGUGCCCUAUGAAGACGAAUAAGAUGUCAACUAGGGGAUGGCGCCCUAUGAAGACGAGUAAGAUGUCAACUAGGGGAUGGCGCCCUAUGAAGACGAGUAAGAUGUCAACUAGGGGAUGGCGCCCUAUGAAGACG
RNAcentral lists this long non-coding RNA (488 nucleotides) under Capsicum annuum. RNAcentral describes it as "long non-coding RNA (CANN_LNC018513)". The record is from RNAcentral. Lineage: Eukaryota; Viridiplantae; Streptophyta; Magnoliopsida; Solanales; Solanaceae.